UUAUUUAAGUUAUUUUAUUUUUUCCAUUCGCGAGUCGGAAACGAACGGAGAAGUCUGCCGAAGGAGUUUCUACAAAUAUACUUUGUUUAAAUGGGGCAUUUGAAGAGACGAACAUGGGACCUCUCUCACAAAAAGCAAUGAUCAUACGGGUUUCCUACAUUAUUAUCGGAAUCAUAUGGUGUCAACAAUAUUGAGUUCUCAAACUAUAACUUGGGAUUUGGCAUUUUGAGUAAUGGAACAUUCCAUGUUGUUGGGGCCGAGCAAAAGGAUUGGAAUUCAACAACUAGGUAAAAUAUCAUUCUGAACCAUUCCCUUCAUUCAACCAUGGUUGUGAUUGCCCCUUCAUAAUUCCAUACUCUAGCAACAACCUGGCUUGAUCAGACUUGCCCUUGUUGCCACCAAUGCUUUCCGAUGGCAAGUCAAGCCCUCUCUUGCUCAUCAUCUGCGACAGAAUUGGCAACACUUGCUGAAGGUGACAAAGGUCAACUUACAGACUACACCUACUACCGGCAUGCUUUUGGAGGUCGCUGAACAUUGAAAUCAUUCCCAGCGUGCAGGAUUGCCAUUUGACUUUGGUACAGUAUUCUUUGCCUUAUAUGUUAUACUUUUUCCCUAUAUCUUAAUUUUGUCAUAUUUUAGGGACUUAUGUUGUAAAGCCAGGUUUAUAAAUAGUCCCUCUCUUGUAAUACAAACACGGGAAUAUGCAAGUGAUAAUUGCAGUCCAUUGAGAACUUUAUCUCUAAAA
RNA transcript from Andrographis paniculata, 745 nucleotides. RefSeq lists it as uncharacterized. The record is from RefSeq and is a predicted model, not a curated record. Lineage: Eukaryota; Viridiplantae; Streptophyta; Magnoliopsida; Lamiales; Acanthaceae. The transcript has 4 exons.